Molecule: non-coding RNA, 115 nt
Filed under: uncultured Cetobacterium sp.
Lineage: Bacteria; Fusobacteriati; Fusobacteriota; Fusobacteriia; Fusobacteriales; Fusobacteriaceae
Source: RNAcentral
UCUCAUCUAAAGCUUCUUUUCCUAAUUUUCCAUUAUUUUUUAUAUAUACUUCAUAGAAUGGUUGCAUAGCUUUUCUAAAUGGUUCUAAAUCUGGAGUUGUAACUGUUACCCCUUG